AGAGAUGUAACUCAGUGGUAGAGCACUUGCCUAGUAUGCACGAGGCCCUGGGGUUCAAUCCCCAGCACCACUU
Molecule: transfer RNA, 73 nt
Filed under: Ictidomys tridecemlineatus (thirteen-lined ground squirrel)
Lineage: Eukaryota; Metazoa; Chordata; Mammalia; Rodentia; Sciuridae
Description: Spermophilus tridecemlineatus (thirteen-lined ground squirrel) tRNA
Rfam family: tRNA
About the family: Transfer RNA (tRNA) molecules are approximately 80 nucleotides in length. Their secondary structure includes four short double-helical elements and three loops (D, anti-codon, and T loops).
Source: Rfam by way of RNAcentral